CUACUUAGCAGGUAAUUUCAAAAGUGAUUUAAAAAAUCAUUACAUACUGCUGUACUUUUAUAAAGUUUGUGUAUUUUUUUUAGAAUGUAGGCUCCACGACUUUCUUGUAAGUGUUUUUUCCCAGGAGUCCUUGUUUUCCUGAUUCUAGUGAGAUUGUAAGCUUUGUUUUUAUUGUUUCUGAUUAUGGCUGGUACUUUUAAACUAUUGAUUUUUUUAAAUUUUAGCUUCAAAAUUUCUUCUGCCUAAACAGAUGUUCAACUAAGUAGCAAGAGGCCAGUCUCUGCAACAGGCAGACCUGUAUCUUUCCUCAAAUAAGAAUUCAUUUCAUACCAAUGUAGGAUGUUUUCAUGACCUUAAGAUCUCUAGUUAAAGGGCGCCUCCUCAGAGAGGGCUUCCCUGACCAUCUCCAUCUAAAGUGGCUAUUUAUUCGUUCUACUUUAUCAUCUUCUUUAAUUCUCUGUAUAGUUCUUGUCACUUUCUGGCUUUUUUAAUGGUCUGUCUGUUGCCUGCCUGCCCGCCCACCAAAACCAGAAUGGAAGCUCCCUGAGGGUAGAACCUGGCUUUUCCUCCUUCAGUGCAUGCCAGUGCCUAGAAGAGAGUCUUAGAUGUAGGAACAUCUCAUAAAGCUUAGUGAAUGAAUGGGUUCCGGAGAAUUUGGACAGGUGAUGCUUUUUCUUCAGCCAGGAAAUCACAAUCCCCAAGAUGCUUUUCCAAAACUCUUUGGGAGACUUCAGUCCCUAAGAGUAUGUGCUGUUGACCAUGGCCCACAGUCUAUUCUAUUUCACUCUUAGAAUUAGUAUUACCAGGAAUUAAUUCAGGAAAGUAGUGCUAUUGAGAAAUGAUGUGAAAACAGAGGAUGAAGGAAUGGUUUUCGCUGCCCCAGAAAUAAUCUCCCAGCAGGGGAGAUACCUGUUGGCUUUCUAACUGAUCAGGCCAGACCUUUGGCAGAAGUGGUAAGAGUGGGUGAGGACAUUUUCUUACUGCAUUCCUACCUUCCUGUUGCUUUUCAGAGCUUAGGAGCGGAAUGAUCAAGGCCCUUGCUCAGCCAGCCGCUCUCACGGCUAGUUAGAGGGCAUUCUUACAGGUUGGCAAACUGUUGAUGGAUACUUCUUAUUUCCAGAACUUUAUGUCUUUGUUUGUUUGUUUGUUUGUUUAAAAGGACAUUUGAUCAUGAAGUCUGGAGAAAGAUAAGGAGGUGCCACCACAACCUAGAAGCCCACAGUCCGAUGUUCUCAGUUUUAUAUUUAGCUCAUAUUCAAAAUUGGCUGUAGAGAAUUGUGCUUUAAUGGAUUCAUUCAGGUUUUUCCUCAUUUAAUAAACAUGACUUCUAUAAUAAUAUACUAACAGCAUAUAUCUAGGAGGUAAAAUAGCGGUUGAAAUUUGUUAUUCGUUAUCUUCCCAAGGGCAUUUGAUAUGAACUUCAGUGUUCUAAUUUAUGAGAUGGAAAUAAUAAUAACAACUUCUAGGUCAAAGGUUGUCGUAGAGAUUAAAUGAGAUAAUUGGUAUAAGAUGGAAUAGAGACUCUGACACAAAGUAAGUACUUGUUAAUAUUCUCUAGGAUCGAGGUUGACGCUAUUUUAAUUUCCUCUAUCCUUAAUGUAUUCUGUGGAAAAUGGCAAGAGCCAUGGGAGCCACAUUUAUAAGAGAAAGUUGCAGUUAUUUUUAAAACUAAGCUUCUGUUACCCCUGAUGGUACCUGAGUAUGGCUAAGGGCGGGUACAUUUCUGCCUAUGGGUAUGAGGCAAUGGAGAGCAUUCAGAGAUAUCCCAGAGGGCAGGCCAGCCAAUGGGACAAGGUGAACACCUAGAAGGCAUUGCCUUCAUGGGCCACUAUAACCCAGAUAAGAUCCUUAGCAGAUUUACAUGGCCAUAAAGUGUUGAUUUUGUUGGUUCAUGGAGGGUUGGUCAAACUCCCAAGGGAAAGAAGCCAAAUAUCUAACAUUUUGAGUGCCCAUUACUUGCAAAGUCAUUGGCUACAUCCUUUAUAAAUGCUGUUCCAUUUAAUUCUAACACAGUCCUUUUAGUAGGAAGUGGAGAAAACUUAGGCUCAUAGAGAGUUCCGAUAACUUGUGCAGGGUAAUAAGUGACCUAAUUGGCAUUUGAAUUCAAGUAUGUAUGAUUUCAAGCCCUUGUCCUUUCUAUUACACCCCAUAGUCUCCCCAAAAACUGACAUCUACUAAGCAACUUAACUUGGGCACAAGACUGGCAUAUAAACCAGUACAACAAUGCAUUGUUUUACAAUAGUGUUUUGCAUCUUUUCAGUGAGUUGGAAUACUUAAGUCUGCCAUUUAGGACAUUCACCUGUGAUAAUAAAUUAUUGCUGUUGUUCUGAAACCAAGCUCUAGAGAAGGCAGUGUUAGGCACCGAGGCAAAUCCUUUGCACCUGUGUCCUUACUCCCUCCUUUCCUCCGGUGCUAGAGGGUCUGUUCCCUGUGCCCUUUUUCUGACAUGGGAGUGAUAAGAUCUACUUGAGGUGGAAUUUGUAGUAGAGUAGACACACCUAUUAAUUUACUCUGCUCUGGUUUGUGACUUCUUUGGCCUCUACUUCCUCCACUUGAUCUUGCCUAGGUCACCAGAGUUCUAGAAAGUUCCAGGGGGCCAAAGUCCCAGCUAAAUAAUUUUCUCUCUUGCACACAGCUAGAUAAAUACCACCAAAUCCUUGGUCUUAGAUUCCCUAACUAAAUUCCACAUAAACAAAUCUCCUUUUGCUAAACCAUUUUGUCUUCAGACAAAAUGAGAACUUUCCAGGAUUCUUUCACAUCAGCUCCAUCCUGAUAGCCCCGUCCUGAUGAGAUAGCUUUCCAAUGGCAAUCUUGAUUUAAUAGGACUUCAUUAUUCCUCCAGUUUUUUAACCCUGAAUGUGAAGAUCUUCUUUUUCCAUGGCUUAAAUCUCUAAAUAACUCCCUUAUCCAUACAUUGUGUAUUUAGUGAUCCUACAUCUUCAAUAACAGAGCUUAAUCUUAUUUCCAAGCAAUUAAAUGUUUAGCAUAUUUACAUCUUACCUCAUUAAGUAAAUUUGUUGCUAACACUCUUGUAUAAGUAGAAAGCAACUUAUUUUUUAAAAUAACAUAUUGGGUUUUUAUUAAACAACUUAUUCUUAAUAGACUGUUGUACUAAAUGAUUAUAUAUAGCAAGAAUCUGGGGAAAACUUUAUCUCCAUUCCAGGAGCACUUGUGAUAGAAGGGGCCACUGAUUAGUGGUUUAGGGAAGCAUAUUUAAUUUGGAAAUGCUCUAUGUUAUGGUGACUUAAAAGGGAGGUGGCUGAACUGAAAAUCUCUAAGCUGCUUCUCCAAUAUGGCUUGAACUCUCCUCAUGUUUAUUUAUCAAUACAUAUCAAUAACUUUGGAUUGGGAAUUUAUGACAAUACAUCAAAUGGUUUUUCCUCCUCUUCUUCUUCCUCAUCCUCCAUCUCCUAUUCUUUUAUUCUUAUUUUUAUCCAUAUCCUUAUUCUAAAUCUUCAGUUAUCUUCGCUGUUUAGAACAUAGAUAGAUUGAACUAGAAUGUAUAGGAUUUCUAUAAGCAUGAUAUUUUUGAUAUUAUUAGAUAGGACACAUAAGGAUCUAAGCAAUGUCCUUAAUGCCAGGCUAUCAGGAGUAUCUGUCUGAAAUCUUUACAGUGCUAUUUCUCACUUUUUAUGUAGUGUGAGUUACAAUGAUGAGAACGUGUGGUUGCUGACUUUGGAGGGAAUUAUGAAAGCUAGUAAGUGAAAGGAGGUUGAAUCAAAAAGACAGUUCAUAAAAGCACAAACCUUUGCUAGGCUUGGGGCAUCACUUUUACUCACUCCUCUGACCCUAAUGUGCACCACAGAUCAUCAAAAUAUCCUAAGAUUGUGUAGACAGAUCAGUCUAUGGCUUUACUUUAUUACUCCCAAGUCCUCAGAGUGGCUAGAGCUGCUAAGAAAAGGUCUCCUAACACUUUAGAAUUUAAAACUUCUGCAAAAGCAAAGGGCCCUGAUUUAAAAAAAAAAUACUAAAUUACCACUGCUAAUUACUAAUGUGAUUCUAGAAUGUUUCAGAAACGUUUUCUCAUCAAAAGUUUUCAAUUUAGUUUUUACACAAUUUUGUUUUUCCUGGGCAAGAAUUCUGCAUUUUAUAAUGGAAUUUAAUGGGAAACUUGGCUCUGCUAAAUUGUCCUUAUUCCAUAAGAUAGGAUGGCUAUACCAUAAUGCCCUAACAAAUACACCACUUCUGUCCCUGGUAGAGAAAUGAACCCAACCCUAAAUAUCUAUUUCAUAUAACUACCCACCUAGCCCAAAACUAUACUGUUAAUCAAACAGAUUUGUGUAUUUAGUUAACUGAAAAUUUUCCAACAGUUUAGGCUGGCGCCUCCUGGUUGGGAAAUUAAUACCGUUGUUUUCCGGAGUUCCCGUCAUGGCUCAGUGGUUAACGAAUCCGACUAGGAACCACGAGGUGGCGGGUUCGGUCCCUGCCCUUGCUCAGUGGGUUAACGAUCCGGCGUUGCCAUGAGCUGUGGUGUAGGUUGCAGACGCGGCUCGGAUCCCGCGUUGCUGUGGCUCUGGCGUAGGCCGGUGGCUCCAGCUCCGAUUCGACCCCUAGCCUGGGAACCUCCAUAUGCCGCAGGAGCGGCCCAAGAAAUAGC
RNAcentral lists this long non-coding RNA (4597 nucleotides) under Sus scrofa (pig). RNAcentral describes it as "lncRNA (ENSSSCG00000055369.1, ENSSSCG00110010599.1)". The record is from RNAcentral. Lineage: Eukaryota; Metazoa; Chordata; Mammalia; Artiodactyla; Suidae.